Camellia sinensis is the source of this 588-nucleotide non-coding RNA. Lineage: Eukaryota; Viridiplantae; Streptophyta; Magnoliopsida; Ericales; Theaceae. The record is from RefSeq and is a predicted model, not a curated record.
AAACACUAAAAACUAAUUUGGGGAAAAAUAAUGAAAAAUUCAAAAACACUAGAAUGUCCAUCACUGAUGUUAGUUAUGAGAUAAGAAUAAUAACAAUAGAACUUAUUGCAGAAUACUAUGAUCUCCUAAGCUACUAUACCAACAUAUCAUGACCAACAUGCAGUUGCACAAUGUUCAAAAAUUUCUCUCUGCGAAUGAACUAUCAAUGGAGGAACUCUAGAUUGUCUUUUUAACGUCAGGAACCAAUUCCUGUUACUCAACUUGUAAGGGAAACUGCUACUGUUAUGCAGGAGUUCACAUAGUCAGGAAUUGUAACAUGUGAGGUGCAUUUGCCUAAUAGAUGGUUCAGAUGAUGGUUCAGAUGCCGAGUAUGAGCCCAAUAAUAGUAGUGAUGAUGAUGAUGGUGAUGACUAGUUUUGAGGACUUUUUGGAUAUGAUACAGUUUGGAUGGUUUUUAACUUUUUGGAUAAUUUAGAAUUUAAGGAUAGUUCUUUUGGAUGGUUUUGAACGUACGGUUAAUUUUUAAAUGUUUGGAAUGUAUUGACAAUUUUUGAAUGUUCAUAAUUUAUGGAUGUAGUUUAUUUUUUA